UCUAAUAUGGCAGAUUAGUGCAAUGGUCUUAAAAUCCAUAUAUAAAGGUUACUCCUUUUUUUAGAA
Molecule: transfer RNA, 66 nt
Filed under: Chalcosoma caucasus caucasus
Lineage: Eukaryota; Metazoa; Arthropoda; Insecta; Coleoptera; Scarabaeidae
Description: tRNA-Leu
Rfam family: tRNA
About the family: Transfer RNA (tRNA) molecules are approximately 80 nucleotides in length. Their secondary structure includes four short double-helical elements and three loops (D, anti-codon, and T loops). Further hydrogen bonds mediate the characteristic L-shaped molecular structure. tRNAs have two regions of fundamental functional importance: the anti-codon, which is responsible for specific mRNA codon recognition, and the 3' end, to which the tRNAs corresponding amino acid is attached (by aminoacyl-tRNA synthetases). tRNAs cope with the degeneracy of the genetic code in two manners: having more than one tRNA (with a specific anti-codon) for a particular amino acid; and 'wobble' base-pairing, i.e. permitting non-standard base-pairing at the 3rd anti-codon position.
Source: RNAcentral